RNAcentral lists this ribosomal RNA (506 nucleotides) under uncultured bacterium. RNAcentral describes it as "partial 16S ribosomal RNA". It matches the Rfam family "Bacterial small subunit ribosomal RNA", at positions 29 to 523 of the family's 1533-position model. The record is from RNAcentral.
AUUGAACGCUGGCGGCAGGCCUAACACAUGCAAGUCGGACGGUAGCACAGAGGAGCUUGCUCCUCGGGUGACGAGCGGCGGACGGGUGAGUAAUGUCUGGGGAUCUGCCCGAUAGAGGGGGAUAACCACUGGAAACGGUGGCUAAUACCGCAUAACGUCGCAAGAACAAAGAGGGGGACCCUCGGGCCUCUCACUAUCGGAUGAACCCAGAGGGGAUUAGCUAGUUAGCGGGGUAACGGCCCACCUAGGCGACGAUCCCUAGCUGGUCUGCGAGGCUGACCCGCCACACGGGAUCAGGGACACGGUCCAGACUCCUACGGGAGGCGGCAGUGGGGAAGAUUGCACAAUGGGCGCAAGCCUGAUGCGGCCAUGCCGCGUGUAUGAAGAAGGCAUACGGGUUGUAAAGUACUUUCAGCGGGGAGAAAGGCGGUAAGGUUAAUAACCUUGUCGAUUGACGUUACCCGCAGAAGAAGCACCGGCUAACUCCGUGCCAGCAGCCGCCGUAA